UGUAAGCGUAUACCAAAGUCGUUGCAGUUAAAACGCUCGUAGUCGGAAUUUGGCAGUUCCGGAUGUGUGCACGUCGUGUGCGCACUUCGCGGGGAUUGCUUUUGUGGUCUUGCGUAGGAUGAGGCACUUUUAUUAGUGAACGUCCUCACGCAACCACUUUUUACUGUGAGAAAAUCAGAGUGCUCAAAGCAGGCAUUUGCCGUGAAUGUAUUAGCAUGGAAUAAUAGAAUAGGACUUGGUUCUAUUUUGUUGGUUUGUUGGGACUGAGUAAUGAUUAAGAGGGACAGUUGGGGGCAUUUGUAUUUCGGUGCUAGAGGUGAAAUUCUUAGAUUACCGAAAGACAAACUGCUGCGAAAGCGUCUGCCAAGGAUGUUUUCAUUGA
Molecule: ribosomal RNA, 382 nt
Filed under: uncultured eukaryote
Lineage: Eukaryota
Description: partial 18S ribosomal RNA
Rfam family: Eukaryotic small subunit ribosomal RNA
Source: RNAcentral